RNAcentral lists this long non-coding RNA (3791 nucleotides) under Vitis vinifera (wine grape). RNAcentral describes it as "long non-coding RNA (VVIN_LNC005678)". The record is from RNAcentral. Lineage: Eukaryota; Viridiplantae; Streptophyta; Magnoliopsida; Vitales; Vitaceae.
UCUCACCACUUUCUCUCUCUUUUCCUCUAAUUCUCUUUCGUUUUUAUUUUAUUUUAUUUUAUUUUCUCAACACACCGUCAUCCGAAACCUUCUUUCCAUGCUCUCCAAGAAAAAAAUGUAAGUUUAUUUAUACAUUUAUUUUUUUUAUUUUUUCUUGAUUUAAUUUAAAUAAUAAUUGUUUGUAAGAUUUUGAGUUGUUAAUUAUUAUGAAAUUUGGGCUCUUGUUAGUGAAAUAUAUUGGAUUGAUUGAUAAUUGAUAUGAGUUUUGCUUUUGAAUUAUUUAAUUUAGGUAAUAUUUUGGAUUCUUGGGUUUUACGUAUUAAAUUGGGUUUUAAUUUGAGUCGUGGAUUUGAAUUUUUAUAUUAAAUUAGACUUGAAUUAUGGAAUAUGAAAUUUAGAUCUAAUUAAAUUUAUUUUGAUUUGUUAUAUUUAGGCUUUGGUUUGCGGCCUAUCAUAUGGAAUGUAUCUGUCAUACUUUAUUUAUCAAUUUAAGCUUGAACGAAAUUUAUUGCAAAUUCCAUAUCCAUAUUCUUAGAUGUGUACACAAAUAUAUUAAUCAUGAGUGGUUUCACAAGAUUAAAAGAUUGCCCCAUAAAAAAAAAAGAAAAAAAAAUUGGCAUUAAUUUAUAGGCUAUUUACAACUAUUUUCAUAGUUGAUAAUGAAAUUAUUUUUUUUAGUAAAAGUUAUGAUUCACAUUAAUAUCAAGGUUGGUAAAGUUUGAUAAAAAUAGUUAACACAAUUUGAAUCUAAUAGAUUUUUUUUGUAGGUUUAGAUUGAAUAUAAUUGUGUUUUAAUCAAAUUUGCAUCAACCUUAUUUUGUUUAAUAAACAUCUUGGUUUUUUUUUAAUCUAUAUAACUUAAAUUCAUCUCAAAUUGACCUAUUUAUGUUGAUUAACUUUAUUAUAAUUAUAAUCUAUUUAACUUAUCUAAAAUUUUAUUUUGAAUAAAUAAGUCAAUUGGUAAAUAUAUCCAGUUACAAGGGUGAUCAUAUUGAUUUAAAUAAAACUUAAUUUGACUUAAUUAUUAAAUGGGUUACACGUUGUUUUAACUGUUUAAUAAUUAUGUAAUAUUUAAGUUCAUACCAUUAACCUAAUUAUUACUCAUGUCAUAUUUAGAUUAACUUAUUUAAUUUCGAGUGUCUGAAUUUCAAAGCAAUAUAAACAAAGCCCACCAAUAUAAAUCAACAACUCUAAUUUAGCAUUCAAAAAGAUCAACUAUGGUGGCUUCAAGAGAGACAUUGUUGCACACGUUAUCAAUGUUUUACAUUACGACAUUGGAAAUUCUUUUCCAAAGGUCAAAAAAGUUCUACAUUUUUAUAAGGCAUAAGCUCUGUGAAAGCUGAAUCAACCAAUAAGCUACAACAAAAACUUCGAUAACUAAUAUUUCAAAUUAUAUUAGGCAAAUUAUGUGCUACAAAAUUUCUUAGAAAUCUGCAUAUUUUCUAUGAUUCAAUCAUUAUUUUGUUAAAGUAAUUAAUGGGGGAAAAAUAGAGAAAAUUUCAAAAAACAUAGUAAAAAUAUUAAAGACUAAUUUUGAAAAAAGUUGAAUAGUUUUUAUUUUUUUUUAAAAAAAAUUAUUUAAGUAAACAAAUUUCAACAGUUUAAUAUUUUGUGAAAGUCAUUUUUGAAUUUAUCUUCAAAAAAUAUUUUUCAACAAAAUUUUUUAAAAUCUCUUGUUUGAUUUUGAUCGUAAAAAAAAAGAGAGUCAACCAUGUGAGCUAUUUACAAGUUGGCCCAAACCAGCCUCACUCUUAGGUCCAUACUACCACUCUUCUCAUGUAACCACCGAAAUAAAAUCCCUAAAAUUCAUGAAUGUCAAUCCAACUAUCCAAGAAAUAAUUUAUGAUUUUGAUUAAUUUUACUUGAAUUCUUUGACAUAUGAAAAUUUAAUGAUAUUUAAAGAGAGAAAGAAAUCAAUCCCCAUUGAAUAAAUUCAAUAUUUUUUGCACUUUANNNNNNNNNNNNNNNNNNNNNNNNNNNNNNNNNNNNNNNNNNNNNNNNNNNNNNNNNNNNNNNNNNNNNNNNNNNNNNNNNNNNNNNNNNNNNNNNNNNNAAUCAAUCCCCAUUGAAUAAAUUCAAUAUUUUUGCACUUUAUUGUUUCUAUAAGCUAGUAUUGGAAACAAAUUAGAAAACUAGAAAUUUGCUACACUAUUUGUAGCACUAGAAAUUUUAUAGUUGAAAAAGUUUAAGUUCCUUCAUUAAUAAAAUUAUAAUUCAUAUUUCCAAAACAUUAACCAUGGAACACUUUUAUUUUCCCCGUAUUAUAGCAUUAUUGUAAUAUAAUAAAUACCUUAGGUUUUUAUUUGGGUACAAUACUUGCUUUAAAAUUAGUUGUUAUGAACAUAAAUUUUUUUCCAAAAAGAAUACUAAUUGUUGCAUUUUUACUUAUUUUAUUUCUUAUUAUUACUUACAAAUUUUGUAGCCAAAUUUUAAACCACCGAACAAAUUGCAUAGACACAAUUUUUUAUUUUGAAAAUGUUGCUCAAAAUCUUAAAUUUGUUGAAUUAGCACGAAACUUUUGUGGAAAAUAAAUGAAGAAAAAGAAAAUUACGAAUGAGUUUUGAGGCACUUCAAAAUCAAGUUUGAAGCAAUUUUAAUUUGAGAUCAAGCAUUCACAUCUAAAACUAUCUCUUAGGCACUUUUGCUCAAGUCUUCAUAUCAUACUGCACCUCAUGGGUGCUUCUAUAUAGCUAAUUGAUCGAGGAUGUGCUUUUUAAUCUUAGUUUCUUUUCCUCUCUCACAUCCACUUUUUUUCCCUUUCUCUUCUCCAUAUGAUAUGUUGAACUCUUCCUAGAAACUUGAAAUCUUGUAAAAUGGUUUAAAAGACCUUGAAAACACAUAAGUCUCUUCAAACAAUUUGCUAACAAUUAUUUAAGUUAAGAAAGUUGAUUAAUACUAAAUUAAUAUUUUAAAAGCAACUUUUUAACCUCAAAACAUAUGCAUAAUUGAAUGUUAAUCAUCAAAGACAAAUGUCAGGUUUAAUUUAACCCAAGGCUUGAGCUUAUGUAAAGUUAAGGCUCGAGCCCAAAUUAAGACCUAACUUGAGUUAAAGUUCAAGCAAACAUCAAUACCCAAUUUAAGCUUUUGCUAAUUCUUGUUCAACAAUAAUAUAUAAAGGAAGAAUUAGGAGAUAGAGGAAUUGGAGGAUACAAUAGAGAUUAUACUCACAUUUCUACAAAUUAAUAAAGAUUUCAAUUUACUCGUAGUUUUUCUAUUUAAGAGAAUUUUGUGUGUAUAUAUACAUAUAGCAUAAGAAGUGAAAAAAAAUUGGUGUUAUUAUUGUUCAAGGAGAAUAAUAAAGAAUUGUAUACCAUGGGUUCAAAUUCAUAACAAUUCAAUAAGUGGAAAAUACAACAUAAAUUUCUCAUAGAUAGAUAUAUAUAUAUAUAUAUAUAUGGUAAGGGAUAAUACAAGACUUAAAAACACAACCUAAUAUACAAUCGGUGUACAACAAUCAUAUAUCUAUUCUAUUUUUCUAUCAUAAUGUGUUAAAUAACAAUGGUUGUACAUCAAAUGAAGAUUCUUUAGUGUCAUCUAAACAUGAUCCCCUGGAAGUUGAAGUAUCAUCCAUAUCCAAAAACUCUGUUAUUUCAGUUACAACACAUGCAUUUUCUUGGAAAUUUUGAUCAACAUUCAAAUGUAGGGCAGACACUCUAAUGUUAUCUAUUUCUGUGGUAACUUCUUUCAUCGUAGGUCUUUUCCUUCCAUUCAAAUUUAAGCAUCGACCUGCAAGCUUAGCAAAUGUCAUGAUGUCCUCUUUCCGACCUUCCUUCACAACUCGAGCAUCAAGA